CUACGGGAUGCUGCAGUGGGGAAUAUUGCACAAUGGGCGCAAGCCUGAUGCAGCCAUGCCGCGUGUAUGAAGAAGGCCUUCGGGUUGUAAAGUACUUUCAGCGGGGAGGAAGGGAGUAAAGUUAAUACCUUUGCUCAUUGACGUUACCCGCAGAAGAAGCACCGGCUAACUCCGUGCCAGCAGCCGCGGUAAUACGGAGGGUGCAAGCGUUAAUCGGAAUUACUGGGCGUAAAGCGCACGCAGGCGGUUUGGUAAGUCAGAUGUGAAAGCCCCGGGCUCAACCUGGGAACUGCAUCUGAUACUGGCAAGCUAGAGUAUCGUAGAGGGGGGUAGAAUUCCAGGUGUAGCGGUGAAAUGCGUAGAGAUCUGGAGGAAUACCGGUGGCGAAGGCGGCCCCCUGGACGAAGACUGACGCUCAGGUGCGAAAGCGUGGGGAGCAAACAGGAUUAGAUACCCCCGUAGUC
RNAcentral lists this ribosomal RNA (464 nucleotides) under uncultured bacterium. RNAcentral describes it as "partial 16S ribosomal RNA". It matches the Rfam family "Bacterial small subunit ribosomal RNA", at positions 339 to 795 of the family's 1533-position model. The record is from RNAcentral.